RNAcentral lists this ribosomal RNA (478 nucleotides) under uncultured bacterium. Its description in RNAcentral is "partial 16S ribosomal RNA". It matches the Rfam family "Bacterial small subunit ribosomal RNA", at positions 28 to 523 of the family's 1533-position model. The record is from RNAcentral.
GACGAACGCUGGCGGCGUGCUUAACACAUGCAAGUCGAACGGUAAGGCCCUUCGGGGUACACGAGUGGCGAACGGGUGAGUAACACGUGGGUGAUCUGCCCUGCACUUCGGGAUAAGCCUGGGAAACUGGGUCUAAUACCGGAUAGGACCACGCGCUUCACGGUGUGUGGUGGAAAGCUUUUGCGGUGUGGGAUGGGCCCGCGGCCUAUCAGCUUGUUGGUGGGGUAAUGGCCUACCAAGGCGACGACGGGUAGCCGGCCUGAGAGGGUGACCGGCCACAAUGGGACUGAGAUACGGCCCAGACUCCUACGGGAGGCAGCAGUGGGGAAUAUUGCACAAUGGGCGCAAGCCUGAUGCAGCGACGCCGCGUGAGGGAUGACGGCCUUCGGGUUGUAAACCUCUUUCAGUAGGGACGAAGCGCAAGUGACGGUACCUACAGAAGAAGGACCGGCCAACUACGUGCCAGCAGCCGCGGUAA